ACGCUCGGAUCGAGAUAGAUGAUCAUCGUUGCCUUGACGUCUGCGGCGAGCGCAGUCGACGUCAACAAGGUGGCAAGGCCCGCAGCCAGCGCUGCGGUUCUGAGCCUGGUCA
This 112-nucleotide small RNA is filed under the name Sinorhizobium meliloti 2011. Its description in RNAcentral is "putative ncRNA". Lineage: Bacteria; Pseudomonadati; Pseudomonadota; Alphaproteobacteria; Hyphomicrobiales; Rhizobiaceae. The record is from RNAcentral.